AUUGAACGCUGGCGGAAUGCUUUACACAUGCAAGUCGAACGGUAGAGGGGGCAACCCCUUGAGAGUGGCGAACGGGUGAGUAAUAUAUCGGAACGUGCCCAGUCGUGGGGAUAACGUAGCGAAAGUUACGCUAAUACCGCAUACGAUCUAUGGAUGAAAGCGGGGGAUCGCAAGACCUCGCGCGAUUGGAGCGGCCGAUAUCAGAUUAGGUAGUUGGUGAGGUAAAGGCUCACCAAGCCGACGAUCUGUAGCUGGUCUGAGAGGACGACCAGCCACACUGGGACUGAGACACGGCCCAGACUCCUACGGGAGGCAGCAGUGGGGAAUUUUGGACAAUGGGCGCAAGCCUGAUCCAGCAAUGCCGCGUGCAGGAUGAAGGCCUU
This 383-nucleotide ribosomal RNA is filed under the name uncultured bacterium. RNAcentral describes it as "bacterial SSU rRNA". It matches the Rfam family "Bacterial small subunit ribosomal RNA", at positions 30 to 418 of the family's 1533-position model. The record is from RNAcentral.